GACGAACGCUGGCGGUGUGCUUAACACAUGCCAGUCGAACGGUAAGGCCCUUUCGGGGGUACACGAGUGGCGAACGGGUGAGUAACACGUGAGUAACCUGCCCUCAUCUCUGGGAUAACAGUCGGAAACGGUUGCUAAUACUGGAUAUGAGCUUGCAAGGCAUCUUGUGGGUUGGAAAGAUUUUUUUGGUUGGGGAUGGACUCGCGGCCUAUCAGCUUGUUGGUGAGGUAGUGGCUCACCAAGGCUUCGACGGGUAGCCGGCCUGAGAGGGCGACCGGCCACAUUGGGACUGAGAUACGGCCCAAACUCCUACGGGAGGCAGCAGUGGGGAAUAUUGCACAAUGGACGGAAGUCUGAUGCAGCAACGCCGCGUGCGGGAUGACGGCCUUCGGGUUGGAAACCGCGUUCAAUUGUGACGAAGCUUUUUGUGACGGUAGCAGUAGAAGAAGCACCGGCUAACUACGUG
RNAcentral lists this ribosomal RNA (466 nucleotides) under uncultured bacterium. Its description in RNAcentral is "partial 16S ribosomal RNA". It matches the Rfam family "Bacterial small subunit ribosomal RNA", at positions 28 to 507 of the family's 1533-position model. The record is from RNAcentral.